AUGGAUGCUAACUUUUGGAAAGGUGUGCUCCUAUGCAUAAAGGUGUUUGAGCCAUUGGUGAGAGUUCUUCGUUUGGUUGAUGGGGAUAUUAAGCCAUCAAUGGCUUGGUUGUAUGGAGAGUUGGUGAAUGCAAAGAGGGAGAUGAAGGAGGCAUUUAACAACUUGGAGAGGAACUACAAAGAUACUAUGGGCAUUGUUGAAAAGAAAAUGAAUGGAAGGCUAGAUUCUCCACUGCACAUGGCCGCAUAUGUGUUGAACCCACACUACAGUUAUGCAGAUAGCUCCGUCUUUACCACUGCAAAUGAAGGAUUUCAGGAAUGUGCUGAACAAUACUAUGCAAAUGAUCAUGAUACUUGCAUGCUGGUUGUCAAUGACGAGUUUCUGAAAUAUGAAAACAAAGAAGGAACUUUUGGAAAGAAGCUUGCAAAAGCAUGUGAAAAUAAAAGCUACAGCCCCGAUACAUACCAAGAGAAGAAAUAG
This 480-nucleotide ribosomal RNA is filed under the name Triticum aestivum (bread wheat). RNAcentral describes it as "partial small subunit ribosomal RNA". Lineage: Eukaryota; Viridiplantae; Streptophyta; Magnoliopsida; Poales; Poaceae. The record is from RNAcentral.